Molecule: transfer RNA, 77 nt
Filed under: bacterium
Lineage: Bacteria
Also listed under: 3 other names
Description: tRNA-His
Rfam family: tRNA
About the family: Transfer RNA (tRNA) molecules are approximately 80 nucleotides in length. Their secondary structure includes four short double-helical elements and three loops (D, anti-codon, and T loops). Further hydrogen bonds mediate the characteristic L-shaped molecular structure. tRNAs have two regions of fundamental functional importance: the anti-codon, which is responsible for specific mRNA codon recognition, and the 3' end, to which the tRNAs corresponding amino acid is attached (by aminoacyl-tRNA synthetases). tRNAs cope with the degeneracy of the genetic code in two manners: having more than one tRNA (with a specific anti-codon) for a particular amino acid; and 'wobble' base-pairing, i.e. permitting non-standard base-pairing at the 3rd anti-codon position.
Source: RNAcentral
GUGAUUGUAGCUCAGCUGGUUAGAGCGCCUGACUGUGACUCAGGAGGUCGCCGGUUCGAACCCGGUCAGUCACCCCA